GCUUCGAUUCACUGUUGUUGUUUUUCCUUUUUUUUUAGGCUCGUAGGUAUGGAUACCCCUCCUGUUCGCUUUGGUGUGCUCGUCGACUUGAAAGUGAAUGUGUUGGAGAGAAAAGGUUCAUGGUUCUCAUGGUUGUCUUCUCCUUUUUCUCGAUGUUCUUUGCCUUAUCUUUUUGUCGCUCGUUCCGCAUUAGUUGAGAAUUUGUCUGAUCGUGCUAAUGCAUCUCGCACUUGCAAUGAAGUACAAGCCGAAUUUGCUCAACCAUUUUCCUCUUGUUCUUAGGUGGUCCUCUUUCCUUCCCCGAGUCCAUACUUGCUGGCUAUAUAUGUAAUUUUGCUUCUCUCGCUUGUGUGAUUGACGAUCUAAAUGCGUAUUUUGCUGUUUACUUUCCUUGCUUCGUUGUGGUUAUCUCCAUCAAAGGGGAGUUAUCUUUAGUUUUUGGGAGUUUCGAUAUCUUUUCGCUGAAAAAUCGUAUCUUGUUUUUUCAUUGAUCAGAUCGAGUUUGGAAAAGGAGAGUAAAAUUUUCUCAUGUCGUUGCAUCAGAGUGAAGAAUGUGAUAGUGUUAAAGUUUUUAGUAAUUUCAAAUCCCACGCUUUAAACUCACAAUUAGUUCAUGGUCUCCGGCUAAUAGUUCAAAUCAAGCAGAAAUGGAGGUUAAGGGAAGCGUAAGUUAUCGUUGGUGGAGAUGAGCACCGAAGGAGGAUUUCAAACUUCAUCGCAACAAGAAACUCUUCCCCUCUGUUAGUCGUUUACACUUGCUCAAAAUGACAGCUCGAUCCUAAUGUCGGUGCCUAUGGUAGUCUCAACUUGCUUGAGAGUUCUAGACAUUUGCAGCUACAAGCUGGUAAGACCGGUACGGUGGUAAACUAGGUAGAGAUAUGGGGGACCUAAUUAUGUGUAUGAGAGGAUACUAGAGAUGUAUGUCAUGAUAUUCCUAGAGAUAUAUGUGGAGAGAUAAGAAGAGGUGUUAAUUGCAUAGUAACAAGUCCAUGUGACUAUCCACGAUUCUGGGAAGUGUCGAUAUCACUUAAAGGUAUUUGUAUAUUUAACUUUUCUCAUUCAAGUGAUUUAUCGUUUUUGGAAACGUUGAUAUAAUCAAGGUUGCCCUUAUCUUUUUUUGACUAUAUGGUUAUCAUGAGAUAAUCUGUCAUUGACAAAAUAGAAGCAUUACCUUAUCUAGCAGCGAUGCCAAGUAGUCAUUUAUAAAUUACAUCUCAUGUGAACUUUUAUUAUCUAGUGCACUAUAGAAAGUUGCUAGAUUCUAAAAAUUGUUCUCGGGAAUAAGAAACAACUUUUAUUUUACUUUUUAUUUCUGCUCCAAAUUUAUUCCCUGACCAUUUUUCUAUUUUGAGGAAUAAAAAAAUUAUUUGACGUUAUCAAAUGGAUUUCUAUUCUUUUUUGUACGGGAAAAUAAAAUAAUAGAAAUUUUAAGAAAUGAAAACAAUAAUAAAUAGACCCUAAAUGACCCUAUAGGGAAUCUUCAAAAGAUCCUUGCUUUAAUUUUCAUCAAUUGCAAAAAGAACUACAAAUGGGUUUUUCUUUUGUUUCUUUGUCAUGGUGUCACAGUUGGAUUUCAAGAAGCCUCAAAUCCACACAACAAAAUGUUAUUCUAAUUUUAAGUAUGUCGAUGCGCAAAAGAAAAACCCAUUUUCUCUUCUAACCAAUCGCUAGAGCCUCCCGUGGGCGGUGACCUUGUUGGCUCUCAUCUUUGGCUAGUCGCCGGCCAUCGCUGAGACCCAGCAACCAACUAAAGGAGGAUGAAGAAGAGAGAGAGAAAAAAAAAAGAAAAAAGAAAAAAAAUAAGGAAAAAAAAUGAGAAAAUCAUUAAAAAAAUUCAAAGAAAUUUUAUGUCACCAAAAAUUUAAGUUUAGGGCACUGAUUCUUGGGUAACUCGCGGGAACAUAACAAAGAAGAAAUUGAUAUAUUUUGGCUUAAAAUGGAGAAAUUAGAGAAAAGAAGUGGCAGUGGCAAUGAGAACAUUCCUUGCUAGUCUCCAGAUAUCGUAUAGAAAUAUUAUGCAAGGUUCCAAUUGACUCCUACACUGUUGAUGUGUUUGCAAGAUUUGGUAUUAUCCGACAAAAUCUCCCACAAAUAUUGCAUUCACUAAGAAAUCUCCCACAAAUAUUGCAUUCACUAAGCAAACAAGGUAGGCCCGUUAAAGGUUGCCUCCCUCCAAUGUUCACUAUGGUACACUGUCAUGCCCCAAACCCCGGGUACGCACACAGCCCUUGGCGGUCGAUUAAAAAUGCGACGUCCCAGGACGCAUCGCCGACUCAUUCUUUUUAUCUUUCAAUUAAGCACAUGCGAAAGUGAAUUAAAUAAACACCCGGCCAAUAAACAAACAUAGGGAUAAUGAAAACAUGCUAGUGAUUUUUCGCCAAGUACACCUUAUAUACAUAUCAAGUUAACCCUAGGAGUUUAUAUACACAAGUUUAUCUCAAAAGAAACCCCUAGGCAACCUAAACUCCACUAGCGACAGGGCCAGCCAAAAGGUGUUGCAUCAUGUGCCCACCACAUCUGCACAUGACAAAUCUUCAUGCUACGGCCUUGAAAAAAGUUAACCACGACGGGGUGAGAUAGAAUCUCAGCAAGUCAAAACCCUAAACCCUUAUUAGGACGCAAAUUCUCCUCGAAGGCGGUCUUAAACACGCACCAUACAAAACUUACAUCGCAUCGGCACAUCUCUGCAUAUUAGUGCAUCACAUAUGUCAUAAAUAUCACAAGUGUGAUUAAUAACCGGAACACAUAAUUCACACCCUUCAAACAUCUACAUGGGUCUCGAUUAUAAGGUAAAACCGUUAUGACACAUCACACACCAUACCACACAAUUUUGCCUCAUAAUCAAGCGCAAUAGCACAACCAGUCAGGCGUGUUUAAGUUAUUACGACCCAUUGGCCAUGGCCAACUCGAAAGUCGGCGGUCAUCUGGCGUAACCGGGUAUCGUCUUGCCCCAUCGGGCACGGCAUUAUCCCGUGUAUUCAUACGCAUCAGGACAUCAUUCCAUAAAGGAGUAUCGAUCCGGCCUCAAUCGCGACUCGGUAUCUGUUGAUGUGAGGCAUCCGAAUUUAAUCAGGCAUCAUUCCACAUUUUUAUACGCAUCAGGACGGGUUCAUUACCUCGCAUAAUCAUACGCAUCAGGGUAUUUAGAUGAUCACACGAGCACACCAUCAAUCAAAUCCAUUGUUAUAUUUCUUAUUAGCCAAACACCAAAAUCCCUUUUUAAAUAAUAAACCUUGUAACUUUUUUUUUUUUAUUCAAAACUUUCUGAAAUAAAUUCGUACAUGGUUACGUACUCAAAAUCAAUCUAUUAAACUUUGCACACUUCUACUAUAAAACCUUCUUAUUUUAUUGAGCACAUAAAAUUUGGCAUCCAAACCUAACACUUUAUUUAUUUUCUAUUUUCUUUUCCAACCACCCUUUUUGAAAUUAAACAUGGGUAAUCCCUUUUAACUUUUGGAAAGAAAUUCAUAGGUGCCGACGUACUCAAAAUUAACCCGUCAAAAUUUGCACGCACCUAGUUUAAAACCUCAUUGUUUUGUUGAGCAAAUAAAUUUUGGUGUCCAAACCUGACACCUCAUUAUUUUUCCAUUUAAAAGCUUCAAGCCAUUUUUGACAUAAAAAUCGGAACAAACAUAGAGCAUCCAAUCUCAUAACAUCAUGCAUAAGUUCUCAGCAUGCAAAAAAUCAACUAAGUCACAAAAUAUACAUUUUCCAGCAAGUAAGACACUAAGAACAAUCACAAGACCACAACCGGCCCUUACCGGCAGAAACCAUGUCCACUUGCACGUCUCCAAGAUUAAUUCCAUAAAUAUAACAAAAAAAAUUCAGAAAAUUUUCAAAUUUAAAUAUGUUAUAAAGGACACUUAAAAGAACACUUUUCAUGAAGACACCUUGACCCAGAUAUUCCUAAAAUAAGAGCAGUAAAUCGCUCAAACUGUUACCAAAACUGUAUCCAUGUCCAGAAAUUAUGUUUUCCAAAACCAGCUUGGUUUGAGGUCUAAAACUUUUCCGUUUGCUUUGAAAUUUGAUUAUGUUAAACGUCAAGACAUGAUGAAAAUUUUUUGUGAAGAAAAUAUUUCUAAAAUCGAAUCCUAAAAGUUGAUAAAAAUCCUUUGAACACCAAAAGAUCACUGGUUCCAGCAUAAACUGAAAUUCUGCUUUGCAUGAAACGAAACUGAAAUCUUAUUCUUUUCAAUCUAUAAAAUCUUGACUAAAAUAUAUGUCAUACAUGAAGAUAUUUAGAACAUUUUUCAAGAACGAAGUAACCUUAAAAUCAUAGCACAUUUUAACCCAAGAAAUUAGCAAAUAGAGAGUGUCCAAUAAACAUAUCUUAAGAUUAAGUUAAUCCAUCUUAAUACUAAUCUAACUAAGCUAAUUAAUACUAAUAUAACUCCCUAACCGUAAUUAACAAAUUAAUCAAUGAUUAGGGAGUUAACUCACUGGAUUAAGACGGCGGUGGGCUCACGGUGAUGGCAACGCAACAGCAGUAAAAACCUGAGACUAUCACGUCUCCGACGAAGGCUCGGCAAAGGCUGAGGUCAGCCCUACAAGUCUCGACCAAGGAGGGAGGUUCUGUGGAGCUGCUGGUCGGUCUGGAUAGUAGUGGCUGUGGUGGCGAAGCUGGACGAGCGGCUGUUGUUGGUGGUGGUGGUGGCGCUGUGGAGAUGGGUGGACGGAGCUGGGCUGGUUGGUGGGACGUUGGAGGUGGUGCGGCUGCUGGUGUUGACUAGCUUGAGGAGGGCGGUUGUGGACGCUAGGCUAGCGGUGGCGUGAAGUGUGAAUGAAGAUGCUGUUGCGAUGAAGAGGGGUGAUGGUCAGGCGGUAAAAAGGGAGAAUGGAGGCUGCGGCAGUAAAAAAAAGAAAGGGGCUGGGUAGUUCAGAGGAGAGAUGGAGAAGGAAGAUCACGUGAAGAAGAAGAGAGGAGAUUAGAGGAGGAGGGUGGUUCGGCUGAGGGGGAAGGAACGUGCGCAAGGGAGAGAAAUUGAAGAGAGCUAGUCUCUCAAGGCCAUAGCCAAUGAGAGACUAGCUCAAAAUAUCCAAACACUCAUGACAAGAGCCCAAAGUCUUCAUCCAAAUAAGUCAAUUGGCCAACUAAUGGAGAAUUAGCUAUAAUUUCCCUAAAUAAGCCAAAUUAGGGGUAGAAAUAACCCAUUUCUUCAACCAUCCGAAUUUCCAUUUAUUUUUCUUUUUGCUGAAAAUCUCUUUUUCUGCAAAAUUCCAAACUCAACGAAAAUUCGCUGAAAGAUGAGACAAUGUUCUAAAAAUGAAUCGAGACACACUCAAACGUUCGAUUCCCAAAACUGAAUUCAAUUUCGUGGUUAAAAUCGAACAAACGCGAUUUUAGUACGACCUAACCUAUCGGGUAGUUUUUAGGGAUUUUAACGUGUUUGACCCAUGGUUGAUAAUUUUUGAUUCACGUUUAUGCAUCUUCGUUUCAUAGACGACUCUCGGUUAUCAUAAAAGCGCGAGGUUUCAACUACGUGUCCCGAAUAUAAUAUCGGUAGAAAAUCGGGUUAUUGCCAUUCGACGUAAAUAUCGCAAUCGUGCGGAACCAUAUGCAAUUCCAUCAAAUAGACUUAUACCCGUUUGCAAAUCGAUUUAUAACAGUGUCGUAUUGACCCUUGCCGAUUAUUAUGGUCAAGCGGUUGGUUUCUGAUCGAAUUCUAUUCACUUGAAAACUUUAUUUAUACUAAGGGUGUAUUUGUUUUGCGGACACUCAAAGAUAUAAGAAAAUGCUUUCUAGUAAAAUAUUUUUUAGAAAUACGUUAAUUUUUCUUUGUUUGGUGAGAUAUGAUCGAUAUGUUUUUUGUUGUUUGCAUAUUAUUAGAAAAUGAUUCAAUUUCUUGACUUUAUUUCGCCUAAAAAAAGUUGAAAUUUACAAAAUUUUUAAAAAUGAUCUUUUAAUUAUUUUUUAAAUUUCUUUUUUUUUUCCUUUUCUUUCCUCUUCUUUUUCUCCCUUCCUCCGCCACUACCGGCUAGCAACGACCAUAGACCGGGCAAGCCAUGAGCUCGCCAGUCUUGAUCAAGCUCGAGUUUGCCUAGAUCUGUCAAGCCGUGAACUUGCCAACCUCGACAAAGCUCAGGUUAGCAAGCUUGAGCUCGCCUGGAUUGGCUAAAUCGUGAGCUUGCCAACCUUGGUCAAGCUCGGGCUCCAUGUAUGUGACAUCCCUAAAAUUGGUCCCUAAUUUGAAUAUAUGAAAUAGUUGUUUCGUCGACGCGCUUAUGGUUAAUUUACUCGGAACUGAUCACUCAUGAGUUAACUAAUCUAUUAGGUGAGGCCGUUAAGAGAUAUAGACGCGACAGAAUAAUAUUUUCUUGUCCAUACAAAUGGAAUAGUUGAACAUGGCCUUGAUGAUGACCAUGAUACCUCCACACACACACAUGACAAAUACGAGUAUUGAUAUCGUGGUAGCAUUUUGAGUAACUCCUCGAUCUGGAGCUCUAAUUGAGAAAGCAAGGAUUGUGGUAAAAUAGUACUGUCAAAUGGGUAGGUCAGGUCAAAAAUGGUUUAAUCCAAAUCGACCCAUUUAACCUGUCUUAAUCCAUUUAUAUGCAAUACUAAUUUAACGACUCAUACCUAACCCAACCAAUAUUAGCAAAACACAUGGAUAUUUGAAAACGAUAACUUUUAUGCUAUGCGUGUAGUGUGUAAAAUAUUUUUAAAAAAUUAGUAGUUUUAUGAGGUUCCAAAAAAGUUUAGCUACUUUUUCUUUAUUACAAUUUUUUUGUUUUAUAGUUAAGUAUCCAACAUCUCUUUAAAUCAAUAAGUCAAUAAAUAUUGACAUUUAUAAUCACAUAUUAAUUUUUAAGAUUUUUUUAAAGCAAGAGCGAUAGUAAUUUUUUUUUUAUUUUUCAAUUUAGAAAAAAGAAGAAGAUCAUAAGUAGAAGAUAAAACUAUAAUACGAGUUGCCCGGCCCGAAAACCCCAACUUGACCCUAAAGACAAGUGAAGAAGGACUGCAAAUGGAUUGAGCUUUAGACCCAUUAAAAAUCCAUAUUUUAUUAAACUUUAUUACUCAAACACUUAUCAACCUGAUUAUCAAGAUUUAGCCAAUCCAUGCAUGACCCAACUCAUCAUAUAUGAGUUAAUAAAUGGGUCUUCAACCCAUUUUGACACAUUUACUGCUAAAUUUUGUAUUGCUACAUGGAACUUUUACUAUGUUGUUUUGAGAUGUCUAUUCCUAUAAUUGAUGGGUGUUAGUUUUAGUUAGAGAAUCUAAAAUGAUAUAUUUAAAUGGGAAAAUGGCACUAAUGGUCCUUCAACUUUGGUUCAAAAUGCAAUGUCGUUUAAUUUAUAUUAUAUGACCAUUGGACUUUGGUUUAAUUUGCAAUCUCGUCCAUGAAUUUUUUAUUUAUUCAAUGCCAUCCGUAAACUUUAAAACAUUUUCAUUUAAUUUAGGGAAUACAUCGACCAUUUACAAAUGGUUUAGGGAGCAUAUUGAAAAAUUAAAAAUUUUGAAACGACAUUAUACAUUGGGUUGAGACCGCAUUACAUAGAUUAAACAUUUUAGUAGUUUUAUGAGGUUCCAAAAAGUUAGCUGCCUUUUCUAUAUUACAAAAUUUUCAAGUUUUAUAAUGAAGUAUCCGACAUCUCUUAAAACCAAUAGGUCAAUCAAUAUUGACAUUUAUAAUCAUAUAUAAAUUCUCACAUUUUUAAAAGUGUGAAUGAUAAUAAAUUUUCUUACUAUUUUUCAAUUUUCAAAAGAGAAGAAAAAGAUCAUAAGUAGAGGAUUAAACUAGAAUAUAAGUUGCCCCGCUCGAAAACCCCAACCUAAACCUAAAUACAAGUGAAGAAGGACUGGGGGUGGAUUGAGCUUUAGACCCAUCAAAAACCCAUGUUCUAUUAAACUUUAUUACUCAAACACUACUGCUAAAUUUAGCUAAUUCAUUCAUGACCCUACUCAUCGUAUAUGGGUUAAUAAAUGAUUCAACCCAUUUUGACACAUCUAUUGCUAAAUUUUUUAUUGGUACAUGGAGCUUUUACUAUUGUCAUUUUCGAGAUGACUACCCCUCUAAUUGAUAGGUGUUAAUUUCGGUAGAAGAAUCUGAAAUGAUACAUUUAAACGGGAAAAUGACAGUGAUGGUGUUUUAACUUUGGUUCAAAGCACAAUAUUGUUUAAUUUAUUUAAUAUGGCUUUUGAAUUUUGGUCUAAUGUGCAGUCUUAUUCAUGAACUUUUAAUUUGUUCAACAUUAUGCAUAAACUUUUAAGCAUUUUCAUUUAAUUUAGGAACUAUAUCGACCAUUUACAAAUAGCUUAAGGAGAACAUUGAAAAAUUUAAAAUUUAGAAACAACGUUGUACAUUGGGUCAAAACUCAGAUAUCACAUCAUACAAAUUAAAAGUUCAUAGAUGAUAUUGUAUAAUAAAUCAAAAUUCAUAAAUCAUUUAUGCCAUUACCACUAUUUAAAUUUAGCUUUACACUUUUUCCAUCCUACUUUUGGCUUUUGACACCCCUGAAUAAUAAUCUAUUAAAGUGGUGGGUUGUAUCAAAAAUGUGCUUAACUAUAUUUAUGCCUUUAUUUAUUGACUUUCUAUUGUUUAAUGCAGCAAUAUCAAUGGAAGGUAAAAUAAGUGAGACAAAUGACAUAUUUUGCUUAAGGACUUUGCUAGCAUAACAAUCUUUAGGUUACUAUGAAAAUAACAACUUGUUCUGAGCCACAAAUUCUUGAGAGAAUGAGCCUCAUAACAAUUUAUAAUUAUUUAUCAUUUAAUUUUUGUGGUCUAAAAUAGACGGUUCUUCUCCCAUAGAUUAAAAACUAUCAACCAAUCAUUUCUCUUUGCUUAAAUAUAUAAGUUUGAGGUAAAUAUUUGUUAGUCUUUUCUUAUUUGUAGUUUUUAAUCUUUAUCACAAAAUCUUAAUAUGAAAAAAUGACAAAUAUAACUAAAUCCACUCCCAUUUUCUUUAUAAAGACUAUACUAUUUCCACUCCCUAUAUAACUAAAUCCACCCCCAUUUUCAUUAUAAAAACUAUAUUAUCCUCGGCUUCAUUUGCAAUCUCAAGUGGUGGCUCCAAAUUUCUUUACUUUCCUUCCUUUUUUAGUUUUAACUAUUCUACGUAGGAUCUAAUUUUCAUAAUUAAGAGUAUCACAUGCUUGUUGUUGUUUAUGGUUUUUUGUCAAAUUUGAAAUUGUUGCUAAUUAGAAAAUAAAAACUAGUCUCUUCCGCAUCAUUGCUCUUAUAACAGCUCAUCUCUCAAAAGCUUACUUUAUUGGUGACCUUUUUAUUUAUUUAUUUUUAAUUUCAUUAAUCUAAAACAUAUAUGAUAUCUCUAUAUUUACUAUAUCAAAUAAUUUGUCAUUUUUCAUUACUAUUGACGAGAUGCUUUGACAGGGAGUGUGUAAAACAUUAUAGCAGUGUUUAGAAAAACACUAAAAAUAUUGGCAUAAAAAAGUUAUGUGCAGUGAGGCAUCUUGGUAUUAUUUGUUAAACAACCCGCAAACGCCAUUCAUUUUUAUCAAUCCAAAAUAAUGAAAUUUCAAUAGUAUUUUACAAAAAAUUCUUAUUUUAUGCAAAGUUAUGAUAUAAUUAAAUUCAUUCUUUUGAAUUUUCAUGAACGGGAAUGUAACCAUGAUUUUGUCUUGGAAAAGAUUUAAGGAGGUUUUUUUUUUUUUUUUUUUUUUUGGGGUGCUUGCGUCUAAUCAUCCCAUAAAAUGUUGGGGUGUGCAUGGUCCAGGCGGGCGGUUCCCAACCUAGAACCGGGAACCGUUCACUAAGGACCGGUUCCGAAAAAUUGGAACCGGAAUCCACCAAUUAGUUGCAUGGAUCCACCCGGGAACCGGACUGUCGGUCUAGUCUGAUUCCUGAGUGGAUUCAUGGAACCGGUUUCACAAUAAAAAUAAUAUCAUUUUCUAAAUCCCACCAUGAGAACUCUUCAUAUCGAGUAAUAUACUAGAAACCAAAAGCUACAAUAAUUAUAAAUCAAAACAAAAUGUUGAAAGUGAAAGAAGGCAAAACUAAUUAUAAGUCAAGCUCCGAUCUUGACGCAAAACAACUUUGGUUUUCGACCAAAAUUGCUAGUUCUUUGCCCGACCUAUUCUUCUUCUCCUCCUCUUACAGCCUUGCUUCUUCGUGUGCUUACUUUUUGCCCACUCACUGCUCGGCGUUUUGUCAAGGACUCAAGGUUUUGUCACGAUCUUGACUUAAUCUUUUUAGUUAUUUGAUUUGGGUUUAUUAAUUAGUAAUUUCAAUUUUUUAAUAUUGAAAAUUAAUAUAUUAUUUUAAUAUAAUCGGUCUGAUUUGUAUGGGCGGGUAGACGGAUCCGCCCAUGAAACCAGAAACCGGACUGGUACCCAUCGAUUCCCAUAAAUUGGAACCAGGAACCGGACUAGUUCCCUCAAGAACCACCGGUUCCAGGCGGUUCCGGUUCAAUUCCGGGCGGUUCGGGCGAAUCCUGGUUCUUUUGUACACCCCUAAUAAAAUGUACAUGUAUAUAAAGAAAACUUAAAAAAAAAGAUUUGAUGGUGAUAAACACAACAAAAAAGUAAAAGUUUAUAAACACGUGACUGUGUUAAAAAGUUAUCUAUGUUAAAUCUUUUCUAAAUUUUAUUGGGCAAGUAAUCCAUAAAUUGGCUUGACAAUGUAAAAAAUAACCAAGUUUUUUUUUUUUGUCAGUAAUAACCAAGUUUCUUCAAAAUUUCUCUUUUGGACAAAACUAAUUUUAUGGAAGUAAAUCUAAAAAAUAAAGAGAAAACAUAAUGCAUUUGACAUAUAAGGAAUAUCCACAAUAAAAAAAAGAACAGAAUGUGUGGUAUUCUUAAUUAUGGCAGUUAAUCCUACAAAAAUAAAAGCACUAACAAAAUAAGGAAAAUAAAUAAAUUGGGCGCUACCACUUUAAAUUACAAUUAAAUAAUCAAGGUUAACUUUGUCUUUUUCACCAAAAUGGGUUGCCUGUAGUGUAAAUUCAGGGUUUUUUUAUGAUAAAAAAAAAGUUUGGGGUAUUUAUGUGACAAUGGACAACUUUAGGGUUUCUACUGAUAUUAAAAAAAAAUUAUAGGUAUUUAUGUUCUAGCAGGGAUAAUUUAGGGUUUAUUUGCCAAAGAAAAGAAGCUGAGCUCCAAGCACUUGAAGGAUCCAUUUCAACAAUCAAGCCGGCAAAGUUGAUUUCUUGACGGUAGAACUAUCCACUCCUCUCCAUCUCUUUUCGUUUAAAUUUCGUGUUGGAAUAAAAAGAUUCAUGGUUCUCACAGUCGUCUUCUCUGUUUCUCGAUGUUUUUUUUGUCUUAUCUUUCUGUCGCUCGUUCAUUGAUAUUCGUAUUAGUUGAGAUAUGUCUAAUCGUGCUGAUGCAUCUCGCACUCGCAGUGAACAGCAAUCCGGAUUUGAUCGACCAGUUUCCUCUCGUUCUUGGUGGGUCCUUGUUCCUUCCCCGAAUCCGUACUUGCUGGUAAUUACGUCUCUCUCGCUUGUGUGAUUGAUGAUCCGAAUGCAUAUUGUGUUGUUUUCUUUCGUUGCUUCGUUGUAGUCAUCUCCGUCAAAAGGGAGUUCGUCUUUUGUUCUUGAGAGUUCCGAUUUCUUUUCGCUCAUGAAAAAUCACAUCUUGUUUUUUAAUUGUUCAGACGGAGUUUAGAAAAUGAGAGCAAAAUUUUCUCAUGUCGUUGCAUCUAAGUGAAGAUGCGAUAGUAACGAGGAUUUUUGUGAUGUCAAAUCCUACGCUUUGACCUCACAAUUAGUUCAUGAUCUCCGGCUAAUAGUUCAAAUC
RNAcentral lists this long non-coding RNA (11695 nucleotides) under Eucalyptus grandis. RNAcentral describes it as "long non-coding RNA (EGRA_LNC000470)". The record is from RNAcentral. Lineage: Eukaryota; Viridiplantae; Streptophyta; Magnoliopsida; Myrtales; Myrtaceae.